GGCGGACGGGUGAGUAAUGCGUGAGCAACCUGCCCUUCAGAGGGGGACAACAGUUGGAAACGACUGCUAAUACCGCAUAAAGUAUUUAGAAGGCAUCUUUUGAAUACCAAAGAUUUAUCGCUGAAGGAUGGGCUCACGUCUGAUUAGCUAGUUGGUGAGGUAAUGGCUCACCAAGGCUGCGAUCAGUAGCCGGACUGAGAGGUUGGCCGGCCACAUUGGGACUGAGAUACGGCCCAGACUCCUACGGGAGGCAGCAGUGGGGAAUAUUGGGCAAUGGGCGAAAGCCUGACCCAGCAACGCCGCGUGAAGGAAGAAGGCUUUCGGGUUGUAAACUUCUUUUGGCAGGGACGAAAAAAAUGACGGUACCUGCAGAAUAAGCUCCGGCUAACUACGUGCCAGCAGCCGCGGUAAUACGUAGGGAGCAAGCGUUAUCCGGAUUUACUGGGUGUAAAGGGAGCGUAGGCGGGAAUGCAAGUCAGAUGUGAAAUCUGAGGGCUCAACCCUCAAACUGCAUUUGAAACUGCGUUUCUUGAGUGGUGGAGAGGCAAGUGGAAUUCCUAGUGUAGCGGUGAAAUGCGUAGAUAUUAGGAGGAA
This 594-nucleotide ribosomal RNA is filed under the name uncultured bacterium. Its description in RNAcentral is "bacterial SSU rRNA". It matches the Rfam family "Bacterial small subunit ribosomal RNA", at positions 97 to 706 of the family's 1533-position model. The record is from RNAcentral.